Molecule: unclassified non-coding RNA, 334 nt
Filed under: soil metagenome
Description: partial contains 5.8S ribosomal RNA, internal transcribed spacer 2, and large subunit ribosomal RNA
Rfam family: 5.8S ribosomal RNA (bases 1-120)
Source: RNAcentral
GAUGAAGAACGUAGCUAAAUGCGAUAAGUAAUGUGAAUUGCAGAAUUCAGUGAAUCAUCGAAUCUUUGAACGCACAUUGCGCCCGCCAGUAUUCUGGCGAGCAUGCCUGUUCGAGCGUCAUUUCAACCAUCAAGCCCCAGGCUUGUGUUGGAGCCCUGCGGCUGCCGCAGCCUCCCAAAACCAGUGGCGGGCUCGCUAUCACACCGAGUGCAGUAGUUUACUCUUCGCUCAGGGCGUGUGGCGGGUGCUAGCCGUGAAACCCCCAACUUCUCAAGGUUGACCUCGGAUCAGGUAGGAAUACCCGCUGAACUUAAGCAUAUCAAUAAGCGGAGGA